GAAAUGCGAUAAGUAAUGUGAAUUGCAGAAUUCAGUGAAUCAUCGAAUCUUUGAACGCACAUUGCGCCCGCCAGUAACCUGGCGGGCAUGCCUGUUCGAGCGUCAUUGCAACCCUCGGCCCCUGGCCGGCGUUGGGGCAUUACGGGUGUUGCCCGUAAGCCCUGAAAUGGAGUGGCGGGCUCGCUGGAGACCCUUUGCGUAGUGAAUUCUAUCGCACUGGACCCCGGCGGGUAUCUGGCCGUAAAACCCCCCCCAAUUUUUUUUGGUUGACCUCGGAUCAGGUAGGAAUACCCGCUGAACUUAAGC
This 306-nucleotide unclassified non-coding RNA is filed under the name plant metagenome. Its description in RNAcentral is "partial contains 5.8S ribosomal RNA, internal transcribed spacer 2, and large subunit ribosomal RNA". The stretch from base 1 to 105 matches the Rfam family "5.8S ribosomal RNA", at positions 50 to 154 of the family's 154-position model. The record is from RNAcentral.